RNAcentral lists this ribosomal RNA (204 nucleotides) under uncultured bacterium. RNAcentral describes it as "partial 16S ribosomal RNA". It matches the Rfam family "Bacterial small subunit ribosomal RNA", at positions 524 to 726 of the family's 1533-position model. The record is from RNAcentral.
UACGGGGGGGGCAAGCGUUGUUCGGAAUUACUGGGCGUAAAGGGCUCGUAGGCGGCCAACUAAGUCAGACGUGAAAUCCCUCGGCUUAACCGGGGAACUGCGUCUGAUACUGGAUGGCUUGAGUUUGGGAGAGGGAUGCGGAAUUCCAGGUGUAGCGGUGAAAUGCGUAGAUAUCUGGAGGAACACCGGUGGCGGAAGGCGGCA